AACGAACGCUGGCGGCGCGCCUAAUACAUGCAAGUCGAGCGAGAAGACGUAGCAAUACGUUUGUAAAGCGGCGAACGGGUGAGGAAUACAUGGGUAACCUACCCUCGAGUGGGGAAUAACUAGCCGAAAGGUUAGCUAAUACCGCGUACGCUCCUUGGACUUCGGUUCAGGGAGGAAAGCGAUACCGUGGGUAUCGCGCUCUUGGAUGGGCUCAUGUCCUAUCAGCUUGUUGGUGAGGUAACGGCUCACCAAGGCUUCGACGGGUAGCUGGUCUGAGAGGACGAUCAGCCACACUGGCACUGCGACACGGGCCAGACUCCACGGGAGGCAGCAGUAAGGAAUAUUGCGCAAUGGGCGAAAGCCUGACGCAGCGACGCCGCGUGGGGGAU
Molecule: ribosomal RNA, 389 nt
Filed under: uncultured bacterium
Lineage: Bacteria
Description: bacterial SSU rRNA
Rfam family: Bacterial small subunit ribosomal RNA
Source: RNAcentral